RNAcentral lists this ribosomal RNA (403 nucleotides) under uncultured bacterium. RNAcentral's name for it is "bacterial SSU rRNA". It matches the Rfam family "Bacterial small subunit ribosomal RNA", at positions 355 to 774 of the family's 1533-position model. The record is from RNAcentral.
UAGGGAAUAUUGGUUAAUGUGCGAAAGCGCGAACCAGCAACGCCGCGUGUGCGAUGAAGGCCUUCGGGUCGUAAAGCACUCUUUGCAGGGAAGAGGAAGGACGGUACCUGCAGAAUAAGUCUCGGCUAACUACGUGCCAGCAGCCGCGGUAAAACGUAGGAGACGAGCGUUAUCCGGAUUUACUGGGCGUAAAGCGCGUGCAGGCGGCAUGGCAAGUUGGAUGUGAAAGCUCCCGGCUUAACUGGGAGAGGUCGUUCAAUACUGCCAGGCUUUAGAGUGGUAGAGGGAAGCGGAAUUCCGGGUGUAGUGGUGAAAUGCGUAGAUAUCCGGAGGAACACCAGUGGCGAAAGCGGCUUCCUGGCCCAUUUCUGACGCUCAGACGCGAAAGCUAGGGUAGCAAACG